This 496-nucleotide ribosomal RNA is filed under the name uncultured bacterium. RNAcentral describes it as "partial 16S ribosomal RNA". It matches the Rfam family "Bacterial small subunit ribosomal RNA", at positions 28 to 507 of the family's 1533-position model. The record is from RNAcentral.
GAUGAACGCUGGCGGCGUGCCUAAUACAUGCAAGUCGAGCGAACGGACGAGAAGCUUGCUUCUCUGAUGUUAGCGGCGGACGGGUGAGUAACACGUGGAUAACCUACCUAUAAGACUGGGAUAACUUCGGGAAACCGUAGCUAAUACCGGAUAAUAUUUUGAACCGCAUGGUUCAAAAGUGAAAGACGGUCUUGCUGUCACUUAUAGAUGGAUCCGCGCUGCAUUAGCUAGUUGGUAAGGUAACGGCUUACCAAGGCAACGAUGCAUAGCCGACCUGAGAGGUUGUCCGCCAAACUUGAACUGGAGCAACGGCCAGGCCCCCACCGGGAGGAAGAGGAGGGAAUCCUCCGCAAUGGGGGGAAGGCCUAAGGAGGAAACGCGGGGGGAGUGAUAAGGUCUUCGGAUCGUAAAACUCUGUUAUUAGGGAAGAACAUAUGUGUAAGUAACUGUGCACAUCUUGACGGUACCUAAUCAGAAAGCCACGGCCAACUACGUG